This 253-nucleotide ribosomal RNA is filed under the name uncultured bacterium. RNAcentral's name for it is "partial 16S ribosomal RNA". It matches the Rfam family "Bacterial small subunit ribosomal RNA", at positions 524 to 776 of the family's 1533-position model. The record is from RNAcentral.
UACGUAGGGUCCGAGCGUUGUCCGGAAUUACUGGGCGUAAAGAGCUCGUAGGUGGUUUGUCGCGUUGUUCGUGAAAACUCACAGCUCAACUGUGGGCGUGCGGGCGAUACGGGCAGACUGGAGUACUGCAGGGGAGACUGGAAUUCCUGGUGUAGCGGUGGAAUGCGCAGAUAUCAGGAGGAACACCGGUGGCGAAGGCGGUCUGCUGGGCAGUAGCUGACACUGAGGCGCGACAGCGUGGGGAGCAAACAGG